GACGAACGCUGGCGGCGUGCUUAACACAUGCAAGUCGAACGGACAGGCCCUGCUCUUGUGGGGUGCUCGAGUGGCGAACGGGUGAGUAACACGUGAGUAUAAUGCACUUGACUUUGGGAUAACUUCAGGAGACUGGGGCUCAUACCGGAUAGGAUCUCCUGCUGCAUGGUGGGGGUUAGAAAGUUUCGGCGGUUGGGGAUGGACUCGCGGCUUAUGCGCUUGUUGGUCGGGUAGUGGAUUACCAAGGCUGUGACGGGUAGGCGGCAUGAGAGGGGGACCAGGCACAAUGGGACUGAGAGACGGAGCAGACUCCUACGGUCGGCAGUAGUGGGGAAUAUUGCACAACGGGCGGAAGUCUGAUGUAGCAACGCUGCGUGCGGAAUGCUGGGUUUCGGGGUGUAAACCGCUUUCUCCUGUGCCGAAGCGUGAGUGACGGUAAUGGGUAAAGAAGCACCGGCUAACUACGUG
Molecule: ribosomal RNA, 468 nt
Filed under: uncultured bacterium
Lineage: Bacteria
Description: partial 16S ribosomal RNA
Rfam family: Bacterial small subunit ribosomal RNA
Source: RNAcentral